This 818-nucleotide long non-coding RNA is filed under the name Brassica napus (rape). RNAcentral's name for it is "long non-coding RNA (BNAP_LNC015350)". The record is from RNAcentral. Lineage: Eukaryota; Viridiplantae; Streptophyta; Magnoliopsida; Brassicales; Brassicaceae.
AAUUAAGGAAGUUGCAGUUUUAAAACUAUUCUAAAAAUAUUCUAACUUACUAAAACGUGUUUUCAUUGAUUUGCUUCGUGAAAAAUCAAAAACAAAACGAUUUUGAAUGUUCUUCUUCACCAAUCUAUGAUUUCCCCAUGAUUUCUCUAUAGUUUGUUUUGUGAUUUUCACAAACUCUUGUUCUAUAAUGCGUAUCUAUACAACAUGUGGUGUUUGAGAGUUUGGCGCAACCACAGAGAGGCGGCAAGAGGCGGAGAGAGGCGGCGAGAGGCGGAGAGAGGCGGCGAGAGGCGGAGAGAGGCGGCGAGAGGCGGAGAGAGGCGGCGAGAGGCGGAGAGAGGCGGCGAGAGGCGGAGAGAGGCGGCGAGAGGCGGAGAGAGGCCAAGCGGGGAGAGGCGGAGAGAAGCGGAGAGAGGCGGAGAGAAGCGGAGAGGCGGAGAGAGGCGGCGAGAGGCGGAGAGAGGCGAGAGAAGCACUGAAAUCUCCUUUGCGUUUGUCUAGAGAGAAAGAGAUCCAGAGAAAAGUAUUAGAACAAGAAGAAGAAAGGAACAAACUUUAUGACUGAAAUUGGAUGGAGAACUUUGGUGUUUACCUUCGGUGUGUAGGAGAAGAGAAAGGGGUUCCACCGGUGGCUGCAGUCGUCGUUGAUUUCACCGGAGAAAACACAAAGGAGAAGACACAAUCGCCAUCUUGCUCGCCGUGGAAGAGAGAGUCGGAGAGAUCGAUGUUAGGGUUACGGAAGUUAGGGAAAGUUAAAUGUUUAGAUCUCAUUUUCUUUUUUUUUUUAAUUUUUUUUUCCCUUUUGGCAACUAUAUUAA